AGGGCGCCCAGGUCUGGUCCCUGGUAGGGAGCUAGAUCUCACAUGCUGCAGUGAAGAUAGAAGGUCCUAUGUGCCACAACUAAGACCCAGCACAGCCAAGUAAAUAAAUACAUAUUACAAAACCAAGUACUGAAUUGAAGAGGCCUGAUCCUCACUCGGCACACACUGACAGGUGACUGCCAGGAGCCCUGAGUGGGAAAGUAUAGGAGAGGAGAAUAAGAAGUCACAUUGUUUUAGAAAUGUUUGAAAUGUAUUUAUUUUGGCUGUUGGUGGGUCUUCAUCGCUGCCAGAGGGCUUUCUCUAGUUGCCCUGAGUGGUUGUGGUUCUUGGGCUUCUCAUUUUGGUGGCUUGGGCUCCAGAGCACUGGCUCAGUAAUUGUGGCACAGGGGUUAUUUGCCCCACAGCAGGUAGGAUCUUAGUUCCCAGACCAGGGAUCAAACCCAUGUCCCCUGCUUUGGCAGGUGGAUUCUUAAUCACUAGAUCACCAGGGAAGUCCCAAAAGGAACAUUCUUAAGCUGACAAAAAGCAUCAAACAAAUGGACUGAGGAAUGCCACAACCUAGAGGUUUCCCUUUCACCCACUCCCAAAUCAAUGCCUUGCUAAGAAUAGGAUUCCUUUGCAGGGAGCCUUCUUUGGAAGGCUUCAGUGUCUUCCCGUGUACAGUAAACCCUCUGUACACGGAGGCAAAUUUGCUGACUCCAGGCUGGCCAGGCUUAGACUUCAGCUUUGUGACUCUUAAGACAGUCACUUCAUUGUUCGUUGUCUUGGUUUGCUCCUUUGUCAGUGGGGACAAAAAGAGUGGUACCUCUGUCCAAGGGCUGUCAUGUAGAUUUGGUGAGAUAGUGGACAGAGCCUGGCUGUGGUAGCAGCUGUGGUAUGCAAAGUAGUCAUUUCUCCCUGCAGAAAGAGGGUGGUUCUGAAGCUGAAAGGUUCUUGGGCAGCGGUGGGGACCACUGGCUUGGCCUUAAGCCUGCCCUGUGUGGUGCUGCUGGCUUUGACUCUUCAGAUGAAGUGGAGAUGCUUUCAAGCUGUUUCUUCCAGGACAGACACUCAUGUGACUUUGAACUUUCUUGUUCACAAUCCAUUCUGCUGGGCUGUGGACCCUGCACAGACCCCCAGAUGCAAGGAAUGAAGGAAGCAGAUGCCUCCUGGACUAAGACAGAUGCUUCAUGGAGGAGAGUGGAAAUCAGCAGUCCCUGGGCUCCCUUCCAUGGCCUGUCACAUUGUCUUAUCUCGUUCAAGGGAGAGCCAGCCAUUUUGAAUUGGGCUUUCUAUGCUCAACCCAAAGAAUCUGGCUUAUGCGGUUGGAGAAGAGAGAUGGGGAGUGCCCACAGUCUACUGGUUUUUACUGCUUCCCUCAGGAGGAAGUGGCAUUUACCUAACUCCCCGAUGCUCACUGACUGUGGCUGUUAUCACAGUGAAGAAAACCUUCCAGAAGACUGAACUUUUUCAGGAUGGCACUUUUAGGAUAUUUUCCAUGUGGAUAAGUGUACGAGAGACAUACGACGGCAAAAUCAGAAACUCUGGACUUGCCAGUUAAUUCCCUCUUUAGCUUUUCUUUACACCAGGGGAAGAAAGACCCUAAAAGCAUGGUAAUUCUUUGUGUUUUAGACCCUAAAUUUUUAUUACGCUUUGAAAUUUAACCUACGAUCAUUCUCUCUUUUUGUCCCACAUACAUCUGCAUCAGACACCAACAGUGACCAGAUCUGCCUUUGACCUCCCUAACGGGAACUUAAUUGUCUUUUAUGCCCAAGUGGUCACCAUACACCACCGCCUGUGAUGCCUCCCAGGCAGGAGGAGAGGACAGUCUUUUUUUCACGUGUGUGGAGUAAAUCACACAAGCCAGUGAGUAUACAGAUUGACUUCUAUAUACUGUAGAAUAUAACCAUCGCCAAAAACUGAAUUCUUGAAUAUGAGUGCUAUCCUGGCCAAUAAAAAUAGAGAUCACCAUAGAGGAGUUAAUUAA
Bos indicus x Bos taurus (hybrid cattle) is the source of this 1966-nucleotide long non-coding RNA. The record is from Ensembl. Lineage: Eukaryota; Metazoa; Chordata; Mammalia; Artiodactyla; Bovidae.